CCUACGGGAGGCAGCAGUAGGGAAUCUUUCACAAUGGGCGAAAGCCUGAUGGAGCAACGCCGCGUGCAGGAUGAAGGCCUUCGGGUGGGAAACUGCUUUUAUAAGCGAGAAAUAUGAUGGUAACUUAUGAAUAAGGAUCGGCUAACUACGUGCCAGCAGCCGCGGUCAUACGUAGGAUCCGAGCAUUAUCCGGAGUGACUGGGUGUAAAGAGUUGCGUAGGUGUCAUAAUAAGUAGCUAGUGAAAUCUGGUGGCUCAACCAUUCAGACUAUUAGCUAAACUGUUAAGCUCGAGACCGUUAGGGGCAUCUGGAAUUUCUAGUGUAGGAGUGAAAUCCGUAGAUAUUAGAAGGAACACCAAGAGCGUAGGCAGGAUGCUGGGACGGUUCUGACACUAAGGCACGAAAGCGUAGGGAGCAAACGGGAUUAGAUACCCGAGUAGUC
This 442-nucleotide ribosomal RNA is filed under the name uncultured bacterium. RNAcentral describes it as "partial 16S ribosomal RNA". It matches the Rfam family "Bacterial small subunit ribosomal RNA", at positions 338 to 795 of the family's 1533-position model. The record is from RNAcentral.